GAUUAACGUUGGCGGCGUGCAUAACACAUGCAAGUUGAGCGUGGCUUUGGAUUUAUUCAAAGUCUAGCAGCGGACGGCUGAGUAAUGCACAGGAACGUACCUCGAAGUGGGGGAUAGCCCAUCGAAAGAUGGGGUAAUACCGCAUGUGAUCGCAAGAUCAAAGCAGCAAUGCGCUUUGAGAGCGGCCUGUGUCCUAUCAG
This 200-nucleotide ribosomal RNA is filed under the name uncultured bacterium. RNAcentral's name for it is "partial 16S ribosomal RNA". It matches the Rfam family "Bacterial small subunit ribosomal RNA", at positions 28 to 244 of the family's 1533-position model. The record is from RNAcentral.